UAACGCGUGGGUAACCUGCCNCNUACAGGGGGAUAACAGUUAGAAAUGACUGCUAAUACCGCAUAAGACCGCAGAGCCGCAUGGCUCAGUGGGAAAAACUCCGGUGGUAUGAGAUGGACCCGCGUCUGAUUAGGUAGUUGGUGGGGUAACGGCCUACCAAGCCAACGAUCAGUAGCCGACCUGAGAGGGUGACCGGCCACAUUGGGACUGAGACACGGCCCAAACUCCUACGGGAGGCAGCAGUGGGGAAUAUUGCACAAUGGGGGAAACCCUGAUGCAGCGACGCCGCGUGAGCGAAGAAGUAUUUCGGUAUGUAAAGCUCUAUCAGNNGGGAAGAAAAUGACGGUACCUGACUAAGAAGCACCGGCUAAAUACGUGCCAGCAGCCGCGGUAAUACGUAUGGUGCAAGCGUUAUCCGGAUUUACUGGGUGUAGAGGGAGCGUAGACGGCUGUGUAAGUCUGAAGUGAAAGCCCGGGGCUCAACCCCGGGACUGCUUUGGAAACUAUGCAGCUAGAGUGUCGGAGAGGUAAGUGGAAUUCCCAGUGUAGCGGUGAAACGCGUAGAUAUUGGGAGGAACACCAGUGGCGAAGGCGGCUUACUGGACGAUGACUGACGUUGAGGCUCGAAAGCGUGGGGAGCAAACAGGAUUAGAUACCCUGGUAGUCCACGCCGUAAACGAUGACUACUAGGUGU
Molecule: ribosomal RNA, 694 nt
Filed under: uncultured bacterium
Lineage: Bacteria
Description: bacterial SSU rRNA
Rfam family: Bacterial small subunit ribosomal RNA
Source: RNAcentral